UACGGAGGGUGCUAGCGUUGUCCGGAAUCACUGGGCGUAAAGGGCGCGUAGGCGGCCUGAUAAGUAGGGGGUGAAAUCCUGCGGCUUAACCGCAGGGCUGCCUUCUAAACUGUCAGGCUAGAGCACGGUAGAGGCAGAUGGAAUUCCCGGUGUAGCGGUGGAAUGCGUAGAGAUCGGGAAGAACAUCAGUGGCGAAGGCGGUCUGCUGGGCCGUUGCUGACGCUGAGGCGCGACAGCGUGGGGAGCAAACAGG
RNAcentral lists this ribosomal RNA (253 nucleotides) under uncultured bacterium. Its description in RNAcentral is "partial 16S ribosomal RNA". It matches the Rfam family "Bacterial small subunit ribosomal RNA", at positions 524 to 776 of the family's 1533-position model. The record is from RNAcentral.